GAUGAACGCUGGCGGCGUGCCUAAUACAUGCAAGUCGAGCGAACAGAUGAGGAGCUUGCUCCUCUGACGUUAGCGGCGGACGGGUGAGUAACACGUGGAUAACCUACCUAUAAGACUGGGAUAACUUCGGGAAACCGGAGCUAAUACCGGAUAAUAUAUUGAACCGCAUGGUUCAAUAGUGAAAGACGGUUUUGCUGUCACUUAUAGAUGGAUCCGCGCCGCAUUAGCUAGUUGGUAAGGUAACGGCUUACCAAGGCAACGAUGCGUAGCCGACCUGAGAGGGUGAUCGGCCACACUGGAACUGAGACACGGUCCAGACUCCUACGGGAGGCAGCAGUAGGGAAUCUUCCGCAAUGGGCGUAAGCCUGACGGAGCAACGCCGCGUGAGUGAUGAAGGUCUUCGGAUCGUAAAACUCUGUUAUUAGGGAAGAACAAAUGUGUAAGUAACUAUGCACGUCUUGACGGUACCUAAUCAGAAAGCCACGGCUAACUACGUG
RNAcentral lists this ribosomal RNA (497 nucleotides) under uncultured bacterium. Its description in RNAcentral is "partial 16S ribosomal RNA". It matches the Rfam family "Bacterial small subunit ribosomal RNA", at positions 28 to 507 of the family's 1533-position model. The record is from RNAcentral.